ACUGUGUGUCCUGCUUGCGCAGCAGCGUGUUCCUUUCUUAGGUUUUGGGCAAAGUGAGGGUCAGGGAGGAAGGGAGGCAGCUUUUGAAGGGAGGGAGGGCUGUUGCUCGCCUUGAGCUGUGACAGGUACUGAAAUUAGACUGUAAAAGGUCACAGUGUAGCUUCCUGGAUAUGUCAUAGAAACAAGGCUGGCAAAGGGCUCAUGCACAGCAUCAAAAGACCUUGAACUCUUGUGCAAAUUUACCAGGGGAUGUGGAAAAGCAAACACAGAGAAGUGCAGCACAGAGAGUGCUGUGGUGGCUAGAGCUACUUCUGAAGAAGCGCUGUUCUUAACUAGAGUUGGUCAUGAAUUUUCUGACCAAAUGCUUCUCCUUAGAAAUUGCCUGCUCUGGUCAAACUCAGAAUUUUUCCCUGGGAUCUAUUGGAUCGGGAAUCUUUGGGACUUGGAGCUUGGAACUGGAGAAGAUUUACAGCCUGACUGUCUAUACCUAUGUCUGAGGCUUCACUCUAGGGCUUGCCUGCUGGGUCUGGUAUCUGAUUUCCUCAGACGGUGGCUAAUCCAUUUGCACUUUCUAUAACAGAAGUUUUGAUGGAUCUCUCUUGUAUUAUACUGUGCUCCCAUUUGUUAUCCAUCCAACCAUCCACUACUGUCUGAAACAUGGAGAGAUAUCAACGUUUAAAAGUAUUUUCAUCAGUUCCUUUGUAGUCCCCAGUGUCUCUGACCAGCUCAAUAAAAUUCCCUUUGCAUUUAUGUUCA
RNAcentral lists this long non-coding RNA (756 nucleotides) under Struthio camelus australis. RNAcentral describes it as "lncRNA (ENSSCUG00000006623.1)". The record is from RNAcentral. Lineage: Eukaryota; Metazoa; Chordata; Aves; Struthioniformes; Struthionidae.